GGUGCAUGGUUGUCGUCAGCUCGUGUCGUGAGAUGUUGGGUUAAGUCCCGCAACGAGCGCAACCCUUGUCUUUAGUUGCCAUCAUUAAGUUGGGCACUCUAGAGAGACUGCCAGGGAUAACCUGGAGGAAGGUGGGGAUGACGUCAAAUCAUCAUGCCCCUUAUGCUUAGGGCUACACACGUGCUACAAUGGGUAGUACAGGGGGUUGCCAAGCCGUAAGGUGGAGCUAAUCCCUUAAAGCUACUCUCAGUUCGGAUUGUAGGCUGAAACUCGCCUACAUGAAGCUGGAGUUACUAGUAAUCGCAGAUCAGA
This 312-nucleotide ribosomal RNA is filed under the name Clostridioides difficile. Its description in RNAcentral is "bacterial SSU rRNA". It matches the Rfam family "Bacterial small subunit ribosomal RNA", at positions 1040 to 1353 of the family's 1533-position model. The record is from RNAcentral. Lineage: Bacteria; Bacillati; Bacillota; Clostridia; Peptostreptococcales; Peptostreptococcaceae.